Non-coding RNA from Nicotiana tabacum (common tobacco), 88 nucleotides. NCBI's taxonomy places the organism in Eukaryota, Viridiplantae, Streptophyta, Magnoliopsida, Solanales, Solanaceae. The record is from Rfam.
GUUAAACUAAUAUUAGUAGCAUUGUACUAAUAUUAGUAGAAUUGGAGGGCAAGUCUGGUGCUAGCAACUGCGGUAAUUCCAGCUCCAA